AACACACACACACACACACACACAAACACACACUCACUGUGUUUCAGGUUAACCCCCGAGACCGUCCCUCGGUCAGCUCCGUCCUCAGGCGUCCCUUCCUGGAGAAGCACAUCAGCAAACACCUGGACCCACAGAUGAUGCAGGAGGAGUUCAGCCACACGGUGCUGCAUCAAAACAGAGCUGCAGCAGCGUCGUCUCAGGCGGCUAAAACGAGAGCAGGAGCAGCAGAGAAGAGACUGAAGUCCAGGGCAGCAGAGAGACCGGGGGCCGCCGUGAAGAGACUACCUGCAAAACCUGACUGGAGAGUCCCACUCAGAGUCUACACCCCGGCCCACUACAGACCUCUUCAUCAACGAGCCGCAGAGAGAGAAGCCGCAGCGCAGCAGAAAGGAAGGUGAAAUUACACCGACCGUAUUAACCUUUUCACUCCAUGAUGAAAAUCAC
This 444-nucleotide long non-coding RNA is filed under the name Sander lucioperca (pikeperch). RNAcentral's name for it is "lncRNA (ENSSLUG00000019314.1)". The record is from RNAcentral. Lineage: Eukaryota; Metazoa; Chordata; Actinopteri; Perciformes; Percidae.